AGAGUUUGAUCCUGGCUCAGAAUGAACGCUGGCGGCGUGCUUAACACAUGCAAGUCGCACGAGAACGCUUUAGCUUGCUAGAGCUAGUAAAGUGGCGCACGGGUGAGUAACGCGUGGGUAAUCUACCCUCGAGUCUGGAAUAACCCCGCGAAAGCGGAGCUAAUACCGGAUAAUAUCAUUUUAAUUGCGAUUAUUAUGAUCAAAGGUGGCCUCUAUAUAUAAGCUACCGUUUGGGGAUGAGCCCGCGUACCAUUAGCUAGUUGGUAGGGUAAUGGCCUACCAAGGCUACGAUGGUUAGCUGGUCUGAGAGGAUGAUCAGCCACACUGGAACUGACACACGGUCCAGACUCCUACGGGAGGCAGCAGUGAGGAAUUUUGCGCAAUGGGGGAAACCCUGACGCAGCAACGCCGCGUGAGUGAUGAAGGCCCUUGGGUCGUAAAGCUCUGUCAAGUGGGAAGAACCCGCAUAUGAUCAAUACCCAUAUGCGCUGACGGUACCACUGAAGGAAGCACCGGCUAACUCCGUGCCAGCAGCCGCGGUAAUACGGAGGGUGCAAGCGUUAUUCGGAAUUAUUGGGCGUAAAGGGCGCGCAGGCGGCCCGGUAAGUCAGAUGUGAAAGCCCGGGGCUUAACCUUGGAAGUGCAUUUGAUACUGCCAGGCUUGAGUAUGGGAGAGGGAAGUGGAAUUCCUGGUGUAGAGGUGAAAUUCGUAGAUAUCAGGAGGAACACCGGUGGCGAAGGCGACUU
This 747-nucleotide ribosomal RNA is filed under the name uncultured delta proteobacterium. Its description in RNAcentral is "bacterial SSU rRNA". It matches the Rfam family "Bacterial small subunit ribosomal RNA", at positions 8 to 727 of the family's 1533-position model. Lineage: Bacteria; Deltaproteobacteria. The record is from RNAcentral.